GCAAUACCGCUGACGACCGGCGCACGGGUGAGUAACACGUAUCCAACCUUCCCAUAACUCGGGGAUAGCCUUUCGAAAGAAAGAUUAAUACCCGAUAGUACUUUAUUAAGGCAUCUUAAGAAAGUUAAAGAUUUAUUGGUUAUGGAUGGGGAUGCGUUCCAUUAGAUAGUUGGUGAGGUAACGGCUCACCAAGUCUUCGAUGGAUAGGGGUUCUGAGAGGAAGGUCCCCCACAUUGGUACUGAGACACGGACCAAACUCCUACGGGAGGCAGCAGUGAGGAAUAUUGGUCAAUGGGCGAGAGCCUGAACCAGCCAAGUAGCGUGAAGGAUGACGG
Molecule: ribosomal RNA, 335 nt
Filed under: uncultured Bacteroidales bacterium
Lineage: Bacteria; Pseudomonadati; Bacteroidota; Bacteroidia; Bacteroidales
Description: bacterial SSU rRNA
Rfam family: Bacterial small subunit ribosomal RNA
Source: RNAcentral